UGAGGAAUAUUGGUCAAUGGGGGCAACCCUGAACCAGCCAAGUCGCGUGAAGGAUGAAGGUCUUAUGGAUUGUAAACUUCUUUUACACGGGAAUAAAGUGGGGGACGUGUCCCCCUUUGCAUGUACCGUGUGAAUAAGGAUCGGCUAACUCCGUGCCAGCAGCCGCGGUAAUACGGAGGAUCCGAGCGUUAUCCGGAUUUAUUGGGUUUAAAGGGUGCGCAGGCGGGAUGUUAAGUCGGCGGUGAAAUUUUGCAGCUCAACUGUAAAAGUGCGUUCGAGACUGGCCUCCUUGAGUGUGGAUGAAGUAGGCGGAAUUUGUGGUGUAGCGGUGAAAUGCUUAGAUAGCACGAGGAACUCCGAUUGCGCAGGCAGCUUACUAAGCCACAACUGACGCUCAUGCACGAAGGCGUGGGGAUCAAACA
This 422-nucleotide ribosomal RNA is filed under the name uncultured bacterium. Its description in RNAcentral is "bacterial SSU rRNA". It matches the Rfam family "Bacterial small subunit ribosomal RNA", at positions 355 to 774 of the family's 1533-position model. The record is from RNAcentral.